ACUAAAUGUCUUUGGUCAUUAUUGAUCAGCUGUCUGUGUUUGAUUGUAACAUAAAUGAAAAAGAAAAAUCAAUUGAUGGUAGACAUGAAAUACAAUGACAACGAGUCCCAACCUUUUUCUGUCAAAUAUUAGAUGAAGAAAAAAUGUUUUUCACCCCACCAAUGGUAAAGAAAGGGAAAAAUAUAAACAAACACUAAUCUUUAUUAUACAUAUGAUGAUGAUUUAAUUUAUGAUUGAUGCAGGAGCUUGGGUUGGUUUGAAGUGUCACAACCAUGAGAGAAAGUGGAAGGGGAAAGGGUCAAUGGUAGCUAGAGGUGUAACUGAUGAAUUUGGAGAGUUCAUAGUAGAUCUUCCUUCUCAGCUUCAUGCUGUUCCUAACUUGGAAAAUGUAUGUUAGGUAAAAAUUGAUCGGAUUCCAAAGCGGUCAUUUUGUCCAGCAGUUGGUGUGAAGAAAUAGAAGGAAUCGAGUCUCUCUUCCUUUGGCAAUGGCAUCCGCCAUUUCUGCAACCCAAACCGUAACUUAGAUUUUUUUAACCUUAGGCAACCAAGUGAAUUUUUUUUAAAAUCACCACAUUUACCCUUAGACGUUCUGAAUCAAAAACAGCCACCUUGCACAUAUGUCUCCACUGUUAGCUGCAUCGUUAAAUAUUUAACACUGUGACAAAAAAAGAUUUGAUUGUACACUUUUUUUCACAAGUUGGAAUAAAAUUGAACUUUUCAAAAAAAGAUAGGACGCAUUUGAACAUUCACGCCUAAAAAAGAACCAAAAGAGAUAUUAAGUCUAAAUGAAAUAACUAUUGAGAGAGUAUGCCUUGGUUGUAUGGAAAAAUGAAUUUAUCAGUAAAAAAAAUUGAUGAUCGUUGUCCAAUACUUUAUUUUUCAGAUUUUAGCUCAAGAAGGUUUUUAAUUUUUGAACAAGCUUGUGAUGGUCUAGGUUUGAAUGAAUAUUUUUCUUUAAAAAUAAUUUUUUAGUUUAUGUUUCGAUAUUUUUACUAUGAAUAGGUUCUGAUUGAUUUGGAUUUUUUUUAAAUUUCUUAUGCAAAAUGAAUAUUUUUUAUUAAGAUUUUAAUUUUUUAUGAGUAAAAUGGCAUGUGAAAUCACUAAAAAAAAUAUUUUUGUGGACAUAAUUAUGUAUUUUCACUUCAUUGAUAAAUUUAUUGUAUUGAAAGUGAUUAGUUUUUUCCUAUGUUUCAAAUGUAGAUGGUAGAAUGAUUAGUGAUGGUUUCAUACCCAUUUUGCAAUUCAUAAAAUUGGGAAAAUAUGGUUGAGAUGUUGAGUGAAUUUGAAACAAAAUAGAAAGAGAUGAAAGCAAAAAUUAAAACAAAUAAACAGACACACAAAUUAAAAAGGGAAAACACAUAAUCAUUGAUGCAAAUCGAGUUGUGGACGUGACUGGAAAUGAAAGCAAGAAUAAGUGAAAUGAAGUGGAUAAACAAUUGAAUAUUUAUACCAUUAUAACCAUUAUUAUUUUUCUAUUUAGGUCAUUGAAAAAAAAUUGAUCAGUAAUCCUAAAACCUAUGUUACAUGUACCUUUAAGUCACCUUAAUGAGUUUUUAUUUCCUAUGUCUAUGACCAUAUAUAAUGAAUAUGCUUUCAGCUCUCCAUGUUUCACAAUAUCGAAAAGCACUAAAAAAAACUAAUAUACUUUUCUUCUAGUCAAGGUUUAAACUCACCACCUCCAAGUCUUAAACCACUUCAAACUAAAUAGACUAUCACAUUUGUCAUUCACAUACACAACAAAUACAAAAAACCAUUACACACAAACACGGCAAAAAAUAUAAUAAAAAAAAAUAUAAAUCACAUUUAAUGCAUAAAGAAAGAAUAAAACACAUGACCUUUAAUCCAUAACAAAGAGUUUUAAGCAAUUGUGCAACACUUUACUUCAAUAUAACUUAUCAUUUAUUAUUUUAACUAAUGUGUCCAUACCUAUACCACACUUCUAGAAAUUUAUUUAUUUUUCCUAGGUCUUAUAAGGUUCACUCAAUGUCUACGUCUAAAAUUGUAAUAAGUCUUAAUAUAAACUAACAAUGCAACUAAUAAUAAUUUAUAAAUUAAUCAAACAUCUAACAAAUAUAAAAUUAUACAAACAUUCGACAUUUAAUAAAUCUAAAAUUAAUCAUAUAUCUAAUAUAAACUAAAAAUACAAAAUAAAGUCGAUCAUCUGAUAAGUGUGAGUAGAUGAUGAUGAUGUAUAAGUAGAGCAGACUCUAAGAGGUGAUAAAUCAAAUGUAUAGUUGGAUUAAAGUAGAUGAUUUUGUAUGGUUGACUUUUGAGAAAUCUUAUGUACAUUCUUAGUCUAUUUCUCUUUUGGGGUUGUAAAUAUAGAAUAAACUUAUAAUUAUGUUUGGAUAAGUAUAUGGAUAUUUUAUAUUUGUCUUAAGUUAACUCUUCUAGUUUAUUAAUUUUGUGACGGUUCCUUAAUAUUAUUUAUACUAUUUUGAAUGGAAUAUUAUAUAUAUAUAUAUAUAUAUAUAUAUAUAUAUAUAUAUAUAUAUAUAUAUAUAUAUAUAUAUCGAAUUCCAAGUCUUAUUAUGUAUUUACAAAUAAUAAUAUUGUUAUUAUCUUUUGAAAAUUAAAAGAAUGAAAAACAAAUUAAUGAGUGUAUUAUGACAAUAUAUUUCAAAAAAUCACACAUGUCCAAAUUAGAUGUAUUAUUGGACAUUCCACAUUCACUAGAGACAAAGCCAAAUUAUAGUACGUAAAUGGGUGCAAAUCACAUCUUACAAGUCGAUUUUGUAAGACUGAGUUAGGCUUAAAGUCCACUUAAAAUAUGUGCUAGAAGUUCUAAAACAACUAGAGAUAAAACCAAUUUAUAAUAUAUAAUUGAGUGCAAAUCUUACCUUAGAAUCCAGUUUUGUAAUAUUCAUUUAGGCUUAAAAUCCACUUAAGAUGUUUAAGAGUCGUGAGUUAUAGUCCAUGCUUGCAAAAUUUGAUGUUUGUUGGGUCUAUUGUUCCAAUUGCUAUCAAGCGCUAUCAGACCACCCAUCAAUGUCUAAUCCCACGCAUGAGAUGUAUAUACAUCAAUCUAAGUGAGGUGUGUUGGAAGUCUCACAUCAACUAGACACAAGACCAAUUCAUAACAUAUAAGUAAAUUUAAACCGUAACUUACAAACCAAUUUUGUGGGAUUAAGUUAGGCAUAAAGUCAAUUUCUUAAUAGUUUUUUUAGGUUCGGUUUGUCUUACCGAAAGGCGUGGUUAUUGAAGUAAUAAUUUUCUAGAAGUAAGCACUAGAUAAUUAUUUAAAGAUAGUUGAAAAAUGAGGGAUUAACCAAGUUUAAGAUUUUAAGGUAAGAUUGGAUGGUAAUUCCAGGUUUCGGGAUAGGUAUGCCAACCUUUAGAUCGAUAAUUAAGGAAACAAAUAUUGGAAGAAUGACACAAAAGUCAUCUUAGUAUUCAUCGAGACAUGAGUAAGAUAUAUAAAAUUUUAAAGGAGUCUUUAUGGUGAAUUGAGAUGAAUAUAAAUAACUUAACAUUAAAAUUACACUUCAAGAAAAAUCCAAACAAUAUUCUAUAAUAUUAUUAUAAAUAUAUAAAAAAUAUUUUUUUAUGGAUUUGGUACAAAUUUUCAAUGCAUAUAAUUACAAUGAAUUAUUUGGAAAAUGAUAAAACUUUUAUUGGUACAAGUAAAUGAAGUUCUUGAACAAUCUAAUUUCAAAUUGAAGAUACACAAGGAUGUCCAAUAUUGACUACAUCAUCCAAAAUAAAUUUCCUCCAAAACCAAUGUGAUUUCCAAACUUUGUUCAUUUUUUCAAUUCGAACAUUUCUUGUCUCGGAUAGGAGCAAGGCAACAAAAAUGGUCAUGAUAAGCACAAAUCCAGCAAAGAAAAAGAAAAGACCAAACUUUAGGUGACAAAGCAUGGUUAGGAAAAGUUGAGCAAUGACAAAGGUAAAUAACAUGUUUACAACAACAUUGGUGCCUUGGCCCGCAGAUCGAACCUCAAAAGAACAUAUUUCACUAGGAACCAACCAUCCAAGGGGACCCCAAGACCAUGCACAUGCUGCAACGUAUGCACAUAUAAAGAAUAAGAGAAGACUAGCUUCUCCAUUGGUAAAAUAACCUUCACCACUCACUUCAAACUUUAGACCAAUCAUGAUUCCAACAGCAAGCUACACAUAUUAUGAACUUCAAAUUAGUUCUUCAUCCUAGCAAAUGACUUUAGUGACAAAAAUUUUAUUUUUUAAAUAUUUUUCGCAACCGGAAAAUCGCGACGGGACGACGAUCCAAAAAAGAAAAAUAUUUAAGAAAAAAAAAGAGUUUGGAGUCGCCACCAUAGUUUAUUCUGGAAAACUACGAAAAAAUCGUAAAAUGAUAAGGCAAGGUCUACAAAACCAAAUUCUGGUUUCGGAAGUCGGUUAUGUGUGAGGAAGGUGUUAGCACCCCCACAACGCCUGCCCCAAGGCAGUACCUUUAACUAAAUACGUGAAUUUUAUGUGGUUUGCAAAAUGUUUAAUUUCCCCUAAAAAAUAAAACUCUAAAGAAAACAAAAUAUUUUUUUUGUUUUUUGUGCCCGACAAGGAUUGACCUUGCUCCUACGUAUUCUCAGUUGGGCUGAGAAAUCAGGGUUACGUAGUUCUUUCUGAAAGAUUGUUUGUUUGUUUGAAAAUGAGAAUGCUUUUAGUUUUUGGCAUUUUUUAUAUAAGAAAGGGAAAAUGUUUUCUAGCACAAGGACGAUGCGUGCGAUCACACAUGUGCUUAAACGCUUAAAACAGUUUUUAUUAUUUUUAUGAAAAGAAGAAAAGGUUUUGGCACGAGGACGAUGCGUGCGAUCACACACGUGCUUAAACCUUUAAAACAUUUUUUGAUAUUGUCAUAAAAGGAAGAAAAGGUCUUAGCACGAGGACGAUACAUGCGAUCACACACGUGCUUAAACCUUUAAAACAUUUGUUAAUAUUUUUAUAAAAGGAAGAAAAAGGUCUUAGCACGAGGACGAUGCGUGCGAUCACACACGUGCUUAAACCUUUAAAAAUAUUUUUAUUAUUUUUAUUAUUUAUUUAAAAAGUAGAUAAAAUAAAAUAAAUAGGUAAAUAACUAAAUAAAAUAAAAAGUGGAAAAAUAGAAAUAGGUAAAUAACUAGGUAAAAUAAAAAGUAAAAAUAACCUAAAAAUUGAAUGAUAAAAUAAUAAGAAAAUAAUAAGUAAAAGGUGUGGUGGUGCUUAGAUAAGAAGAGGGGUGUGCAAACUAAAUUAAUUCUUAUAACAGGUUGGGCCUAAGCCCAAGUGGAAAGGGGUGGUGAAAUGGAAAAUAGGGGCUGCAAACCUCCUUUGAUAAAAAAAACGGACUGGGCCUAAGCCCAAGUGAGGUGGAGGUUCGACUUAACAGAAACGGGGGUGUCAGGAAGAAAAACGAAUUUUUUCUUUGUUGGUUUUGGUUUUUAUAUUUUUUUUACUUAUUUUAUUUUAAAAAAAGAAAAGGGCCAUGGCCCAAGAUUCCCAAUAGCAGAAAAAAUAGGGGUUCUCUCCCUAACCUCCAUUUCAACAUUGCACGCUCCAAAAUCAGAACAGCCAGGAGCUAGGGUUUCUCCUCUGCAUGAGAACACCAGAGAGGCUUUGCCUCUACCGUUCACUCAUGCACACACUGCCGUCGACGGCCACAGGCCGUGAGCCAAGACCGCACCGGUGACUCUGCUCGUCACCGGAGCCGACGCCGACCACCAGGUUUCCUCCCCUACUCGCCACCACCUCUACUCAGCCUCCACCGUUCUACGUCGCCGCUCCUCUUCCUCCUCAGUUCGAGGGUUCCCUUUCUCCUCCUCUCUACGUCGUCGUUGAAGUCUCAUCAUCUCAUCCUCGUCGGCGACUGCGACCUUUACCGAACACGUUGCACGAACCAACUUUCUUCUUCUUCGAACGAAACCGUCGCCGACAGUGAAACUGGUGCCACCGCCGCUGUCGACAACCGGUAGGAGCCGCUCUCGUUCACGGCGGUUCAAGAUGCCCUUGCUACCGCAAUCGAAGGGUGAAAGGAACACACUGUGGUGUUCCUGAGUGAAUCUGUGUGAGGUGGGGAAUGAAGAUGACACUCUGGUUGCGAUGCAGGGGUUUAUGGAGAUGAAAAAUGGGUUCUCUGCCUUUGCGCGUGCUUCUUUGUGGCUCGAAUGGAAAUGGAACUUGGUGUUGAGUGGUUGGAGGAAUGAUGGACAGUGCAGGGGGAUACAAGCCUGUGUGUGGAGCUUGAAAAUGAUUUUUUCUUUUUGGUGAUUGGUUUUAUCGUUGUGGCUUUGUGUUGUGCAGGUUGAAGAUGAUGGUGUUAUGCGUGUUGACUUAGCGGAAGUAUCAGGAGAAGAAUGACGAACUAGAGUUUCUUGCUGUCGAGAUCAAUGAGGAAAGGGUGAGGGGUUUGGAGGAUGACGCUAUCGUAAGCGUGGGUGAGGAUGAUUGUGGUUGGGAUGUAGGUUGGGGGACAAAGGCAAAGAUGAAUGGAGUCAGCUGGGGUAAAAGAACGGUCUUGAAUAAACUGACACGGGAUCUGUAAUUUGGUCUGUUGAUGCUAUUUGAUGCAGGUGGAAGAUGGUCUCGAAGAUAGCCAUAACUUAUACCAGUAUACCUAGAUUGAGAGGAACCUAUGGAGGAACCUAUGGUCUACUAUAAGGACAAAACCACUUCUAUUCUUUCAGUUUUUUAUAAGAACUGAUAUGGAAAUGUAUCAGUUUUUGCUUUGCUUUUUGUUAUGUGCUUUCUGGGUAAUGGACAUUGAAGUCAUGUUGGGUGUAUUUUGAUUAACAGAUGAAGUCACAGAAGAAGCAAACGACUAUGUACUGAUCAAACAUCCUUCAUGCAUAUCCAGACAGCAUUAUUCAUUCAUACCCAACAUCAUUCAUUCAUAUCUAGACUCAUAACAGAGGGCAUGUAUUCACAUAAGGCAAAACCAAGAGCUUAAACAAGGAAACUUACCUUCGCAGCUUCAAAAGAACUCUCCCUUUUGGCUUCUAGUUCCCUCUGUCUUCUUGACUGGAAUUUUCCUUUGCUUUCCAAUGGUCUUGCCGGCGUAAG
This 6990-nucleotide long non-coding RNA is filed under the name Vigna radiata. Its description in RNAcentral is "long non-coding RNA (VRAD_LNC002722)". The record is from RNAcentral. Lineage: Eukaryota; Viridiplantae; Streptophyta; Magnoliopsida; Fabales; Fabaceae.